RNAcentral lists this ribosomal RNA (173 nucleotides) under uncultured bacterium. RNAcentral's name for it is "partial 16S ribosomal RNA". It matches the Rfam family "Bacterial small subunit ribosomal RNA", at positions 335 to 524 of the family's 1533-position model. The record is from RNAcentral.
ACUCCUACGGGAGGCAGCAGUGGGGAAUAUUGCACAAUGGGGGAAACCCUGAUGCAGCAACGCCGCGUGCGGGAUGACGGCCUUCGGGUUGUAAACCGCUUUCAGCAGGGGCGAAUUCAGACGGUACCUGCAGAAGAAGCACCGGCUAACUACGUGCCAGCAGCCGCGGUAAU